This 1346-nucleotide ribosomal RNA is filed under the name uncultured bacterium. RNAcentral's name for it is "bacterial SSU rRNA". It matches the Rfam family "Bacterial small subunit ribosomal RNA", at positions 28 to 1381 of the family's 1533-position model. The record is from RNAcentral.
GACGAACGCUGGCGGCGUGCUUAACACAUGCAAGUCGAACGGAAAGGCCCUGCUUUUGUGGGGUGCUCGAGUGGCGAACGGGUGAGUAACACGUGAGUAACCUGCCCUUGACUUUGGGAUAACUUCAGGAAACUGGGGCUAAUACCGGAUAGGAGCUCCUGCUGCAUGGUGGGGGUUGGAAAGUUUCGGCGGUUGGGGAUGGACUCGCGGCUUAUCAGCUUGUUGGUGGGGUAGUGGCUUACCAAGGCUUUGACGGGUAGCCGGCCUGAGAGGGUGACCGGCCACAUUGGGACUGAGAUACGGCCCAGACUCCUACGGGAGGCAGCAGUGGGGAAUAUUGCACAAUGGGCGGAAGCCUGAUGCAGCAACGCCGCGUGCGGGAUGACGGCCUUCGGGUUGUAAACCGCUUUCGCCUGUGACGAAGCGUGAGUGACGGUAAUGGGUAAAGAAGCACCGGCUAACUACGUGCCAGCAGCCGCGGUGAUACGUAGGGUGCGAGCGUUGUCCAGAUUUAUUGGGCGUAAAGGGCUCGUAGGUGGUUGAUCGCGUCGGAAGUGUAAUCUUGGGGCUUAACCCUGAGCGUGCUUUCGAUACGGGUUGACUUGAGGAAGGUAGGGGAGAAUGGAAUUCCUGGUGGAGCGGUGGAAUGCGCAGAUAUCAGGAGGAACACCAGUGGCGAAGGCGGUUCUCUGGGCCUUUCCUGACGCUGAGGAGCGAAAGCGUGGGGAGCGAACAGGCUUAGAUACCCUGGUAGUCCACGCUGUAAACGGUAGGUACUAGGUGUGGGGUCCAUUCCACGGGUUCCGUGCCGUAGCUAACGCUUUAAGUACCCCGCCUGGGGAGUACGGCCGCAAGGCUAAAACUCAAAGGAAUUGACGGGGCCCCGCACAAGCGGCGGAGCAUGCGGAUUAAUUCGAUGCAACGCGUAGAACCUUACCUGGGUUUGACAUGGAUCGGGAGCGCUCAGAGAUGGGUGUGCCUCUUUUGGGGUCGGUUCACAGGUGGUGCAUGGCUGUCGUCAGCUCGUGUCGUGAGAUGUUGGGUUAAGUCCCGCAACGAGCGCAACCCUUGUUCACUGUUGCCAGCACGUUAUGGUGGGGACUCAGUGGAGACCGCCGGGGUCAACUCGGAGGAAGGUGGGGAUGACGUCAAGUCAUCAUGCCCCUUAUGUCCAGGGCUUCACGCAUGCUACAAUGGCUGGUACAGAGAGUGGCGAGCCUGUGAGGGUGAGCGAAUCUCGGAAAGCCGGUCUCAGUUCGGAUUGGGGUCUGCAACUCGACCUCAUGAAGUCGGAGUCGCUAGUAAUCGCAGAUCAGCAACGCUGCGGUGAAUACGUUCCCGGGGCU